CACCCGCACGUAUAGAUGGACAAGAAUAGGCUUCGGCUUAGCGUCUUAGCAGGCGAUUCUUCCACGGCGCUCGAAGCGCGUCGUGGUAUUUCGCGUAUUGUAAUUUCAACACGAGCGGGGUCAAAUCCUUUGCAGACGACUUAGCUGUGCGAAACGGUCCUGUAAGCAGUAGAGUAGCCUUGUUGUUACGAUCUGCUGAGGGUAAGCCGUCCUUCGCCUCGAUUUCCCCAAUGGGUUCUCCGGAUUUCUGGAGACUUGUAGGGGUUGUGGGAUUUUUGAUGUGUCGUCUCCGGACGGGCGGUGCAGGGUAGUCGAGUUAGACUUGGUGGAAUUCCGUCGAUAGGAGUUCCGUCGAGUCUGGUCGGCUGCUUGGACAUGGUCGGUUCGAGGAUCGAUUCGAGGGCCGGCCUGUCGAUGAUGUGUGAUGUAUGCGGUCUAGGGUAGGCUGGUUUGUCUUGGUUCAAUUUGAUGUCGGCUCCCGUGCAGGCCAGAGUGAAGGGGGGUCCAGGGUAGGUACAGGGUAGGCAGCUUAGAUUUGGUCGAUCUGGAGGUCGAUUCUCCGGCUGGCGGAUCUGACACUGUCGAAAUGAGAUGCGAGUGGUGUAGGGUAGGCUCUAGGGUAAGUAGAAUUCUAGUUUCGUCGCCGACAGUUUUCUUUGGGUGUAUGGUAGGUACAGGGUAGGCAAAUCUCUCUCGGGCCAGUACUUGUCUGGUGGUCGUGAGUCGAUUUUUUUGUUUUGCCAUACUAUUGAAUUUUGCGGAAAUUCAAAAGUGGCUCGGGAGUCCCGCCUGGCGAGCGUCCGACUCGAACAUCGUCGGUGUACAUAUGAGAGGGAGUAAUCCGGCCCGGCCGGGGCCCAUCGCGAGCUGCCGGGUAGGUAAAAGUAAAAAAGUUGUUAAGAGGCGCGGUGUCGGCGUGCUUGUAUUUGCGGGAGGGAAUUAUCUGGGGGUGCUGGGUAGCCGGGAAGACUUGGACGGAUCUGGCCCUGGAAUGGGUCUGGGCCUGGAUUCUGGAGUGGUGUAGGGUAGGCGUAGAUAGAUGAGUGGUGUAGGGUAGAUACAGGGUAGCCAGAAGUCUGGUAUAUAGUAUGGGGGUGUAGGGUAGGUCUGGACACCGUUUUCCACUUCGCCCUUCCCUUUAGUCAAGGGAGGACGAUCUUGGCUGGGACGGAGGUGUAGGGUAGGCUUAAUUUACUAUUACAUGAUCUGUGUCACUCUAGGGUAGGUGAAAAUCCCAUAUAUAUCUGAUCACAUUUGGUGAAGAGGUGGUUUGGCUGGUGAGAUGGACAAAAGUGCAAUGUAGAAUUAUAUGUGAUUUUGCAAAAGUGGGUGUGAAAUUGGGAAAUCGGUUUUCCCGCACAGAUGAGAGCACGUUUGAGGUGCCAUGAGAUGCACCUCUCCGAGACGACCUCAACGGUACCACCCAUGUGUUGGUCGGGCUCCUGUGCGGCCGUCCAGGGCGGGAUAAGUAGAGAAUGUGGUGGUGUAGGGUAGGUGACCAGGUCCAGGGUAGGUUCGCCAAAUCCGUCAAUCCGGCUUGGAUCGAAGGACAGGUCUAGGGUAGACCAGAGUCGGGUCUAGGGUAGGCAACUCUCACCCUCGGAGUGGUCUACCCGGUAGCCAACUUCAAUCGCCUCUCACGGCCGCCACGGACCUCGCAUGACGACGGGACUACCACCAUCGGAUUCGCCUUGGUCGAAAUAGCUGGUAUAUGCACUUUUGAAAAAAUGCGUGCAAAAUGGUUUUGUGGUUUGGUGGCCGUGAGUCGAUUUUUUUGUUUUCCCAUACAAAUGAAUUUUGCGGAAAAUAAAAAGUGGCCCACGAGGCAGUCCUGGCGUGCGGCCCACUAAAACGGUCUCGGAGGGUAUAUGAGAAGGGAGCAAAUCCGGCCGAGCCUGAAAGGGUGAGGACAAACCGGGCGAGCAACCUCUCAGUAUCAGAUCUUGCAGACUUCCACUGCGUGUCCCUCUGUACAGCUUUGCAGGCUCCGGCCUCGGCAGCGGGGGGUUCAUAGUGGUCGUCGACCUCCACGAAACUGCACGCUCCGGCGUGACAGCGUACUGGGGAUGCCUGUGUAGAUGCAGUCCGGGCUUGCCUGGACCGCUAGCAGAUGGGCUCUGUGGAUGACUGGCCGCUGGCUAGACCUGAAACCUGAGCAACGGGAGGUAACCUCUCGCCGCGGACACCGGAAUGGUAGAAGCGGCGUGCUGCGUCCUCCUCUUGGGGCCCCUAAGCCACACCUCCCACAGCGGGUUCGGUGCGGCGGACGGACGCCCUGGGGAAUUUAGAGGGGGAAAGCGGAUUGCCCUAGCGGUGUUGUUGGCCCUGCCGACCUCACUGCGAAAGGCGCGACUUCACCGUCGCCACCCAGUAACUUGUCUCUCCGGCGCUUCACGGCGCUGGUGGCCAACCCCGGC
RNAcentral lists this unclassified non-coding RNA (2417 nucleotides) under Fusarium oxysporum. RNAcentral describes it as "partial contains 28S ribosomal RNA and intergenic spacer region". The stretch from base 1 to 227 matches the Rfam family "Eukaryotic large subunit ribosomal RNA", at positions 3162 to 3401 of the family's 3401-position model. The record is from RNAcentral. Lineage: Eukaryota; Fungi; Ascomycota; Sordariomycetes; Hypocreales; Nectriaceae.